UUAAAUAGAUUAAAAUAAAUCGUGAGGCUGUUAACCUUGAGAUAGUGUCUUCAUUUUUAAG
RNAcentral lists this transfer RNA (61 nucleotides) under Diplorchis sp. RNAcentral describes it as "tRNA-Asn". The record is from RNAcentral. Lineage: Eukaryota; Metazoa; Platyhelminthes; Monogenea; Polystomatidea; Polystomatidae.